Oncorhynchus gorbuscha (pink salmon) is the source of this 580-nucleotide long non-coding RNA. RefSeq lists it as uncharacterized. The record is from RefSeq and is a predicted model, not a curated record. NCBI's taxonomy places the organism in Eukaryota, Metazoa, Chordata, Actinopteri, Salmoniformes, Salmonidae. The transcript is spliced from 3 exons.
CAUAGGGCGAUGCACAAUUGGUCCAGCGUUGGCCGGGUUAGGGUUUGGCCGGGUUAGGCAGUCAUUGUAAUUAAGAAUUUGUUCUUAACUGAUUUGCCUAGUUAAAUAAAGGUUAAAAAUACAAAUGUAUGUUAUGUCUUCUUCCCCCAUUGCAAGAAUACUAGAGGGUGCAUGGUCCUGAGAGUGCUUCUCCCACCACCAAUAUACCGAAUGCAGGUACUAAAAAAACAUGAUCCUGAGAGGGUUUUUCACACCACCAGUGUAAUGAGUUGGAAAGAAGACUGCCCACCAAAGCAUUGAUGAGGCCUGAAAGUCAUAAUGCUGGAACCAAUAUGGCUGAAUAUCUCUACCAGGUGACCAAAAAAACAAGAGACCCCAAUCCUUAGUUCGGACUCUCUGGAAUAUUGUAUCUACUCCCUGGCAUUCACCAUCAUGAAUGGACAGGCUCUGGAGCAGAAGACAUUAUGUUAAGUUGUUGUUUUACACAGAUUCCUAUUGGAAAUUGAUACCUGGUCGGGGUUGUGGGUGUAGAGGGUAAAGUGUUUCCUUCAGCCCAUUUCCUCAGCUUUAAUUGGUAGGG